GCGGGCGUAGCUCAGUUGGUUAGAGCGCCGGCCUGUCACGCCGGAGGCCGCGGGUUCAAGUCCCGUCGCUCGCGCCA
Molecule: transfer RNA, 77 nt
Filed under: Hyphomicrobium sp.
Lineage: Bacteria; Pseudomonadati; Pseudomonadota; Alphaproteobacteria; Hyphomicrobiales; Hyphomicrobiaceae
Also listed under: 39 other names
Description: tRNA-Asp
Rfam family: tRNA
About the family: Transfer RNA (tRNA) molecules are approximately 80 nucleotides in length. Their secondary structure includes four short double-helical elements and three loops (D, anti-codon, and T loops). Further hydrogen bonds mediate the characteristic L-shaped molecular structure. tRNAs have two regions of fundamental functional importance: the anti-codon, which is responsible for specific mRNA codon recognition, and the 3' end, to which the tRNAs corresponding amino acid is attached (by aminoacyl-tRNA synthetases). tRNAs cope with the degeneracy of the genetic code in two manners: having more than one tRNA (with a specific anti-codon) for a particular amino acid; and 'wobble' base-pairing, i.e. permitting non-standard base-pairing at the 3rd anti-codon position.
Source: RNAcentral